This 674-nucleotide long non-coding RNA is filed under the name Rattus norvegicus (Norway rat). RNAcentral's name for it is "long non-coding RNA NONRATT015617". Lineage: Eukaryota; Metazoa; Chordata; Mammalia; Rodentia; Muridae. The record is from RNAcentral.
AGAAAUGAAAAGGGAGACAUAACAACAGAAACAGAGAAAAUUUAAAAAAUUAUCAGAUACUCUAACUACAAAAACCUAUACUCAAGAAAACUGAAAAAUCUGGAUGAAAUGAACAGUUUUCUAGCCAGAGACCAGGUACCAAAGUUAAAUCAGGAUCAGAUAAACCAUCUAAACAGUCUCAUAAUCCCUAAAGAAAUAGGAGUCAUUAAAACUCCCUCAAUCCACCAUCCCUGAACUCAAGUAAUAUUACAGAGCAGUAGUGAUAAAAACUGCAUGGUAUUGGUACAGAGAUAGACAGAUAGACCAGUGGAAUAGAAUUGAAGACCCAGAAAUGAACCCACGGACCUAUGGUCACUUGAUUUUUGACAAACGAGCCAAAACCAUCCAAUGGAAAAAAGAUAGCAUUUUCAACAAAUGGUGCUGGUUCAACUUGUGGUCAGCAUGUAGAAGACUGCAAAUUGAUCCAUUCUUAUCUCCUUUUACAAACCUCAAGUCCAAGUGGAUCAAAGACCUCCACAUAAAACCAGAUACACUCAAACUAAUAGAAGAGAAAGUGGGGAAGAGCCUGAACACACGGGCAAAGGAGAAAAUUUCCUGAACAGAACUCCAAUAGCUUAUGCUCUAAGAUUAACAAUCAACAAAUGGGACCUUAUAAAACUACAAAGCUUCUGUAC